RNAcentral lists this unclassified non-coding RNA (345 nucleotides) under soil metagenome. RNAcentral describes it as "partial contains 5.8S ribosomal RNA, internal transcribed spacer 2, and large subunit ribosomal RNA". The stretch from base 4 to 119 matches the Rfam family "5.8S ribosomal RNA", at positions 39 to 154 of the family's 154-position model. The record is from RNAcentral.
GAUAAGAACGUAGCGAAAUGCGAUAAGUAGUGUGAAUUGCAGAAUUCAGUGAAUCAUCGAAUCUUUGAACGCACAUUGCGCCCGCCAGUAUUCUGGCGGGCAUGCCUGUUCGAGCGUCAUUUCAACCCUCAAGCCCUCGGGUUUGGUGUUGGGGAUCGGCGAGCCUUUCUGGCAAGCCGGCCCCGAAAUCUAGUGGCGGUCUCGCUGCAGCCUCCAUUGCGUAGUAGUAAAACCCUCGCAACUGGAACGCGGCGCGGCCAAGCCGUUAAACCCCCAACUUCUGAAUGUUGACCUCGGAUCAGGUAGGAAUACCCGCUGAACUUAAGCAUAUCAAUAAGCGGAGGA